The sequence is a non-coding RNA, 375 nucleotides long. It matches the Rfam family "transfer-messenger RNA". From Rfam's summary of the family: Bacterial tmRNA, also known as 10Sa RNA or SsrA, is named for its dual tRNA and mRNA-like properties. The record is from Rfam.
GGGGGCGACAUGGCUUCGACGUGGGUAGCAAAACCUUGAGUGCAUGCCGAGCACAGUACAGCUCGUAAAACCUACUGAAAUAAAGUAUUCGCAAACGACGAAAACUACUCAAUGGCUUUGGCUGCAUAAAAACAGCCACCAUUCCUCUGACUACCUGUGCUUAUGCGGGUAGGAUCUUCGGAUCACUCAGGGGUCAUAGCACAUAAGAUCGUGCCGAUGCCUGUCCGGAGCUGACGCACUAAAUCCUAACGGAAUCGCCGACGGUUUUCUUGGCCUGACGGGUAGCCGGCGGUUAAAUCAAAAGAUCAGGAUAAGCAUGUAGAGCUUGUGGCGGAGUGCUUGCGGACGCGGGUUCAAUCCCCGCCGCCUCCACCA